GAGGACAAGACUAAGGGAUUUGGGACUGUUUAGCCUGGGGAAGAGAAGACCGAGGCGAGACUUGGUGGCCAUCUGUCUGGGAUAAUGGUGCCAUU
Long non-coding RNA from Gavialis gangeticus (Gharial), 95 nucleotides. RefSeq lists it as uncharacterized. The transcript is spliced from 3 exons. The record is from RefSeq and is a predicted model, not a curated record. NCBI's taxonomy places the organism in Eukaryota, Metazoa, Chordata, Crocodylia, Gavialidae.